This 253-nucleotide ribosomal RNA is filed under the name uncultured bacterium. RNAcentral's name for it is "partial 16S ribosomal RNA". It matches the Rfam family "Bacterial small subunit ribosomal RNA", at positions 524 to 776 of the family's 1533-position model. The record is from RNAcentral.
UACGUAGGGUGCGAGCGUUAAUCGGAAUUACUGGGCGUAAAGUGUGCGCAGGCGGCAGAGCAAGUCGAGUGUGAAAGCCCCGGGCUUAACCUGGGAACUGCAUUGGUGACUGCAUUGCUGGAGUAUGGCAGAGGGGGGUGGAAUUCCACGUGUAGCAGUGAAAUGCGUAGAGAUGUGGAGGAACACCGAUGGCGAAGGCAGCCCCCUGGGCCAAUACUGACGCUCAUGCACGAAAGCGUGGGGAGCAAACAGG